This 69-nucleotide transfer RNA is filed under the name Salmo salar (Atlantic salmon). It matches the Rfam family "tRNA". Rfam says of the family: Transfer RNA (tRNA) molecules are approximately 80 nucleotides in length. Their secondary structure includes four short double-helical elements and three loops (D, anti-codon, and T loops). RNAcentral also lists the same sequence under 1 other name. Lineage: Eukaryota; Metazoa; Chordata; Actinopteri; Salmoniformes; Salmonidae. The record is from Rfam by way of RNAcentral.
CUUCAUGUGGCUCAGUUGGUAGAGCAUGGUGCUUGCAACACCAAGUUGUAGGUUAGAUUCCCAUGGGGG